UUUAGGGAGAGAAUUAUUGUUGGAUAGCCACCCUUAGUUCCACACGUUUCAGAUAUUUAAAUCGCCAACUGUAUGGUGUCACUAGACGCAAAAUUCCUUGAACGAUUACACUCACAAGCAAUCUCGCUCAGACAACAAUAAAUAAGGUGAAUACUGAGCUUUUACCAUGGAAAUUUAUGGUAUUUUCUCUCAAAUUUUUCUCCUUCAGGAGCC
Molecule: long non-coding RNA, 213 nt
Filed under: Theobroma cacao (cacao)
Lineage: Eukaryota; Viridiplantae; Streptophyta; Magnoliopsida; Malvales; Malvaceae
Description: long non-coding RNA (TCAC_LNC004977)
Source: RNAcentral